This 460-nucleotide ribosomal RNA is filed under the name uncultured bacterium. RNAcentral's name for it is "partial 16S ribosomal RNA". It matches the Rfam family "Bacterial small subunit ribosomal RNA", at positions 338 to 795 of the family's 1533-position model. The record is from RNAcentral.
CCUACGGGUGGCAGCAGUGAGGAAUAUUGGUCAAUGGCCGGAAGGCUGAACCAGCCAUGCCGCGUGAAGGUCAGUGCCCUAUGGGCGUUACACUUCUUUUGUGCGGGAGCAAUAAUGGUCACGUGUGGCCAGACGAGAGUACCGUACGAAUAAGCAUCGGCUAACUCCGUGCCAGCAGCCGCGGUAAUACGGGGGAUGCAAGCGUUAUCCGGAUUUAUUGGGUUUAAAGGGUGCGUAGGCUGUGAGGUAAGUCAGCGGUGAAAUGCCCCCGCUCAACGGGGUGAAGUGCCAUUGAUACUGCCUUGCUGGAAUGCGGAUGCCGUGGGAGGAAUGUGUGGUGUAGCGGUGGAAUGCAUAGAUAUCACACAGAACACCGAUUGCGAAGGCAUCUCACGAAUCCGCGAUUGACGCUGAUGCACGAAAGCGUGGGUAUCAAACAGGAUUAGAUACCCUGGUAGUC